UCGACGCAGUAGCAAUACUGAGUGGCAAACGGGUGAGUAUAAUGUGGGAAUCUGCCUUUUGGUUUGGAAUAACACGGGGAAACUUGUGCUAAUACCGAAUAAGCCUUUACAGGGAAAGUUUUAACGCCGAAAGAUGAGCCCGCACUUGAUUAGCUAGUUGGUAAGGUAAAAGCUUACCAAGGCAAUGAUCAAUAGCUGUUCUUAGAGGAAGACCAGCCACAUUGGGACUGAGACACGGCCCAGACUCCUACGGGAGGCAGCAGUGGGGAAUCGUGCACAAUGGGGGAAACCCUGAUGCAGCGAUGCCGCGUGAGUGAAGAAGGCCUUUGGGUUGUAAAACUCUUUCGUCGGGGAAGAAAAUGACUGUACCCGAAUAAGAAGGUCCGGCUAACUUCGUGCCAGCAGCCGCGGUAAUACGAAGGGACCUAGCGUAGUUCGGAAUUACUGGGCUUAAAGAGCUCGUAGGUGGUUAAAAAAGUUGAUGGUGAAAUCCCAAGGCUCAACCUUGGAACUGCCAUCAGAACUUUUUAGCUAGAGUGUGAUAGAGGUAAGUGGAAUUUCUAGUGUAGAGGUGAAAUUCGUAGAUAUUAGAAAGAACACCAAAUGCGAAGGCAACUUACUGGGUCACUACUGACACUGAGGAGCGAAAGCAUGGGUAGCGAAGAGGAUUAGAUACCCUCGUAGUCCAUGCCGUANACGAUGUGUGCUAGACGUUGGAAAUAUAUUUUUCAGUGUCGCAGCGAAAGCAUUAAGCACACCGCCUGGGGAGUACGACCGCAAGGUU
This 784-nucleotide ribosomal RNA is filed under the name uncultured marine bacterium. RNAcentral's name for it is "bacterial SSU rRNA". It matches the Rfam family "Bacterial small subunit ribosomal RNA", at positions 62 to 895 of the family's 1533-position model. The record is from RNAcentral.